Molecule: long non-coding RNA, 1192 nt
Organism: Salvia miltiorrhiza (redroot sage)
Lineage: Eukaryota; Viridiplantae; Streptophyta; Magnoliopsida; Lamiales; Lamiaceae
Exons: 7
Source: RefSeq, a predicted model, not a curated record
GUUUUUCACUUUUACCUUUUCACUCUAUGUUUCUCUGUGAUACAGUUCCGGCAAUGAAAACAAAAAGAGUUCUGCCGUAAGAAUCUCCCCCAAAUUCAACGGUGAAAGUGCAAAGUCUGAUCAAAAUUCAACCAAAAAUCACACUAGAGAAAUCCAUUACACCAAAAAAAUGAGACACGUGCUCGUUCACCGACAUUCACUUCUUCAAGAGUUACAUCUCCACGGGCGUAGUGAGCAUUAUCUUGCACUUGAGUGCCCUCACGGUUCGCUCGUCUUUGCUCACAUCGAAUUUGUUUCCUGGAACACUUUUCAUCCAUUAAUUGUACCUUCUAUAUCUUGUUAUGGCGAAAAGAAGAUGUGUGCUUUCAAAGAAGGAUAUUGAUGAGCUUUCUUUGUAUUUUUCUUUUUUCGGGGCUCAUUUGUAUCGGUUGCACACUUACCUUUAGUUUAUUUGUUCCAUGUCUUUGCUUUAGAGUAUGGUGCAUGGUAAUUUUAAUUCUUCUAUAAUGCAUGUUGUGCUGUGUUCACACCUGCCAUGUACUUCUCAAUUCUUUGUUGCUUGUAUUUGUUUUGCUGGGAAUUUAAUAUUAAAUCUCUGUUCAAAUGUCUUACACGGCCAUGUGACAACUUCAAAACGUUUAGGUUUUAGCUUACCUUAUCCAUCUACAAAUGUUAUGGCUAUGCCAAUAUUUUUGGCCGGGAGUGUUCACCUGCUCUGACUACUCGGUCGAGAAGCUUAAGAGGUGGGCUGCGUGAUCUGGGUUGCCGUUACAUGAUGUGCUAGCACUUGUUGCAAAAUUUGGACUCCGAGGUUCGAGUGGCAGUGUAGAAUGAACAAGCAAGGACUUCUAUUUCAUUAAGCGUAUCAGGUUAAGCUGUGAUGCAGAUGGUAGCAAGCAGAGCAAAGUCUUUGAUGUAUAUAUAUUAAACCAGGCUCAGGAUUUCAUGUCUUCAUACAUGUAAUCCACAUGAAUUAUUCCGCUGCAACACUUAAUCUAUUCUACUUUAUUGAUGUGUUGUACAGAUUUUAAAUCAAUAGCUUUAAGAAUUAUGUCACUUCAAAGUUAGACAACUUGUCGUUGUGUAUUGUAAGUUGUCUACUCAUGAGUUUUAAAAGUGGUUGCCUACGAUUAUUCAAUACUAUAGUGAUUGCUUAUGAUUACUAAGUAUUAUGGUAAAUUAUUAUUAUUAU